RNAcentral lists this ribosomal RNA (417 nucleotides) under Anaplasma platys. Its description in RNAcentral is "bacterial SSU rRNA". It matches the Rfam family "Bacterial small subunit ribosomal RNA", at positions 64 to 513 of the family's 1533-position model. The record is from RNAcentral. Lineage: Bacteria; Pseudomonadati; Pseudomonadota; Alphaproteobacteria; Rickettsiales; Anaplasmataceae.
GGAUUUUUGUCGUAGCUUGCUAUGAUAAAAAUUAGUGGCAGACGGGUGAGUAAUGCAUAGGAAUCUACCUAGUAGUAUGGGAUAGCCACUAGAAAUGGUGGGUAAUACUGUAUAAUCCCUGCGGGGGAAAGAUUUAUCGCUAUUAGAUGAGCCUAUGUUAGAUUAGCUAGUUGGUAGGGUAAAGGCCUACCAAGGCAGUGAUCUAUAGCUGGUCUGAGAGGAUGAUCAGCCACACUGGAACUGAGAUACGGUCCAGACUCCUACGGGAGGCAGCAGUGGGGAAUAUUGGACAAUGGGCGCAAGCCUGAUCCAGCUAUGCCGCGUGAGUGAGGAAGGCCUUAGGGUUGUAAAACUCUUUCAGUGGGGAAGAUAAUGACGGUACCCACAGAAGAAGUCCCGGCAAACUCCGUGCCAGCC